CAUAUUAAUCAGCGGA
RNAcentral lists this ribosomal RNA (16 nucleotides) under Tulasnella calospora. RNAcentral's name for it is "partial 28S ribosomal RNA". Lineage: Eukaryota; Fungi; Basidiomycota; Agaricomycetes; Cantharellales; Tulasnellaceae. The record is from RNAcentral. RNAcentral also lists the same sequence under 2 other names.